This 683-nucleotide ribosomal RNA is filed under the name Salmonella enterica. Its description in RNAcentral is "partial 23S ribosomal RNA". It matches the Rfam family "Bacterial large subunit ribosomal RNA", at positions 161 to 883 of the family's 2925-position model. The record is from RNAcentral. Lineage: Bacteria; Pseudomonadati; Pseudomonadota; Gammaproteobacteria; Enterobacterales; Enterobacteriaceae.
AAUCCAUAGGUUAAUGAGGCGAACCGGGGGAACUGAAACAUCUAAGUACCCCGAGGAAAAGAAAUCAACCGAGAUUCCCCCAGUAGCGGCGAGCGAACGGGGAGGAGCCCAGAGCCUGAAUCAGCAUGUGUGUUAGUGGAAGCGUCUGGAAAGGCGCGCGAUACAGGGUGACAGCCCCGUACACAAAAGCGCAUGUGCUGUGAGCUCGAUGAGUAGGGCGGGACACGUGGUAUCCUGUCUGAAUAUGGGGGGACCAUCCUCCAAGGCUAAAUACUCCUGACUGACCGAUAGUGAACCAGUACCGUGAGGGAAAGGCGAAAAGAACCCCGGCGAGGGGAGUGAAAAAGAACCUGAAACCGUGUACGUACAAGCAGUGGGAGCACAGGUUUACCUGUGUGACUGCGUACCUUUUGUAUAAUGGGUCAGCGACUUAUAUUCUGUAGCAAGGUUAACCGAAUAGGGGAGCCGUAGGGAAACCGAGUCUUAACCGGGCGUUAAGUUGCAGGGUAUAGACCCGAAACCCGGUGAUCUAGCCAUGGGCAGGUUGAAGGUUGGGUAACACUAACUGGAGGACCGAACCGACUAAUGUUGAAAAAUUAGCGGAUGACCUGUGGCUGGGGGUGAAAGGCCAAUCAAACCGGGAGAUAGCUGGUUCUCCCCGAAAGCUAUUUAGGUAGCGCCUC